RNAcentral lists this ribosomal RNA (429 nucleotides) under Chloroflexota bacterium. RNAcentral describes it as "Chloroflexi bacterium partial 16S ribosomal RNA". It matches the Rfam family "Bacterial small subunit ribosomal RNA", at positions 355 to 776 of the family's 1533-position model. The record is from RNAcentral. Lineage: Bacteria; Bacillati; Chloroflexota.
UGGGGAAUAUUGCACAAUGGGCGCAAGCCUGAUGCAGCCAUGCCGCGUGUAUGAAGAAGGCCUUCGGGUUGUAAAGUACUUUCAGCGGGGAGGAAGGGAGUAAAGUUAAUACCUUUGCUCAUUGACGUUACCCGCAGAAGAAGCACCGCUUAACUCCGUGCCAGCAGCCGCGGUAAUACGGAGGGUGCAAGCGUUAAUCGGAAUUACUGGGCGUAAAGCGCACGCAGGCGGUUUGUUAAGUCAGAUGUGAAAUCCCCGGGCUCAACCUGGGAACUGCAUCUGAUACUGGCAAGCUUGAGUCUCGUAGAGGGGGGUAGAAUUCCAGGUGUAGCGGUGAAAUGCGUAGAGAUCUGGAGGAAUACCGGUGGCGAAGGCGGCCCCCUGGACGAAGACUGACGCUCAGGUGCGAAAGCGUGGGGAGCAAACAGG